Molecule: transfer RNA, 139 nt
Filed under: Lachnospiraceae bacterium
Lineage: Bacteria; Bacillati; Bacillota; Clostridia; Lachnospirales; Lachnospiraceae
Description: tRNA-OTHER
Rfam family: tRNA
About the family: Transfer RNA (tRNA) molecules are approximately 80 nucleotides in length. Their secondary structure includes four short double-helical elements and three loops (D, anti-codon, and T loops). Further hydrogen bonds mediate the characteristic L-shaped molecular structure. tRNAs have two regions of fundamental functional importance: the anti-codon, which is responsible for specific mRNA codon recognition, and the 3' end, to which the tRNAs corresponding amino acid is attached (by aminoacyl-tRNA synthetases). tRNAs cope with the degeneracy of the genetic code in two manners: having more than one tRNA (with a specific anti-codon) for a particular amino acid; and 'wobble' base-pairing, i.e. permitting non-standard base-pairing at the 3rd anti-codon position.
Source: RNAcentral
GGGGCCAUAGCUCAGCGGUAGAGCACAACACGCCAAGAUAUAGUGCUCUUGGCGUGUGAAUCUUGAUAAAGAUUCACACAGCAACGUUCUAAAAGGACUUAAAAUCCCAAAUUCUUCGGUUCGAAUCCGAAUGGCCCCG